CGGAGUAUAGCGCAGCCUGGUAGCGCACUUGGCUGGGGGCCAAGGGGUCGCAGGUUCAAAUCCUGCUACUCCGACCA
Molecule: transfer RNA, 77 nt
Filed under: Kiloniella laminariae
Lineage: Bacteria; Pseudomonadati; Pseudomonadota; Alphaproteobacteria; Rhodospirillales; Kiloniellaceae
Description: tRNA-Pro
Rfam family: tRNA
About the family: Transfer RNA (tRNA) molecules are approximately 80 nucleotides in length. Their secondary structure includes four short double-helical elements and three loops (D, anti-codon, and T loops).
Source: RNAcentral